RNAcentral lists this long non-coding RNA (301 nucleotides) under Elaeis guineensis (African oil palm). Its description in RNAcentral is "long non-coding RNA (EGUI_LNC079075)". The record is from RNAcentral. Lineage: Eukaryota; Viridiplantae; Streptophyta; Magnoliopsida; Arecales; Arecaceae.
AUCCAAGAAGAAAAUUAUGGCAUUCUAGGUCAAAAUUAUGAUAUCCUGAUUAAGAUGUCAUAAUUUUGAUCAGAAUACCACAAUUUUCAUCUUGGAUGUCAUAAUUUUGUCAAAAUAGAGAGGUAUUUUCAUCAUUUAAAAUUUCAAACGAAAAAGUAGAACUGCAGACAUUAAAUAGACAUUAAAUGUGCGUUGAAAAACAGUGACUAUAUGGUCCAAUAAGAUGAAGCGGUGCAUUCUACAUCAGAUUUUCUACACCGCAGGCGGUGCACAAAAAUUUUUUUAUUCUCGUUGAGCAGCU